UGCGUGACCGACCUGCCCCAUACACCGGAAUAGCUCCUGGAAACGGGUGGUAAUGCCGGAUGCUCCAGUUGGAUGCAUGUCCUUCUGGGAAAGAUUCAUCGGUAUGGGAUGGGGUCGCGUCCUAUCAGCUUGAUGGCGGGGUAACGGCCCACCAUGGCUUCGACGGGUAGCCGGCCUGAGAGGGCGACCGGCCACAUUGGGACUGAGAUACGGCCCAGAU
Molecule: ribosomal RNA, 220 nt
Filed under: uncultured bacterium
Lineage: Bacteria
Description: partial 16S ribosomal RNA
Rfam family: Bacterial small subunit ribosomal RNA
Source: RNAcentral